RNAcentral lists this ribosomal RNA (1346 nucleotides) under uncultured bacterium. RNAcentral's name for it is "partial 16S ribosomal RNA". It matches the Rfam family "Bacterial small subunit ribosomal RNA", at positions 28 to 1381 of the family's 1533-position model. The record is from RNAcentral.
GACGAACGCUGGCGGCGUGCUUAACACAUGCAAGUCGAACGGAAAGGCCCUGCUUUUGUGGGGUGCUCGAGUGGCGAACGGGUGAGUAACACGUGAGUAACCUGCCCUUGACUUUGGGAUAACUUCAGGAAACUGGGACUAAUACCGGAUAGGAGCUCCUGCUGCAUGGUGGGGGUUGGAAAGUUUCGGCGGUUGGGGAUGGACUCGCGGCUUAUCAGCUUGUUGGUGGGGUAGUGGCUUACCAAGGCUUUGACGGGUAGCCGGCCUGAGAGGGUGACCGGCCACAUUGGGACUGAGAUACGGCCCAGACUCCUACGGGAGGCAGCAGUGGGGAAUAUUGCACAAUGGGCGGAAGCCUGAUGCAGCAACGCCGCGUGCGGGAUGACGGCCUUCGGGUUGUAAACCGCUUUCGCCUGUGACGAAGCGUGAGUGACGGUAAUGGGUAAAGAAGCACCGGCUAACUACGUGCCAGCAGCCGCGGUGAUACGUAGGGUGCGAGCGUUGUCCGGAUUUAUUGGGCGUAAAGGGCUCGUAGGUGGUUGAUCGCGUCGGAAGUGUAAUCUUGGGGCUUAACCCUGAGCGUGCUUUCGAUACGGGUUGACUUGAGGAAGGUAGGGGAGAAUGGAAUUCCUGGUGGAGCGGUGGAAUGCGCAGAUAUCAGGAGGAACACCAGUGGCGAAGGCGGUUCUCUGGGCCUUUCCUGACGCUGAGGAGCGAAAGCGUGGGGAGCGAACAGGCUUAGAUACCCUGGUAGUCCACGCUGUAAACGGUGGGUACUAGGUGUGGGGUCCAUUCCACGGGUUCCGUGCCGUAGCUAACGCUUUAAGUACCCCGCCUGGGGAGUACGGCCGCAAGGCUAAAACUCAAAGGAAUUGGCGGGGCCCCGCACAAGCGGCGGAGCAUGCGGAUUAAUUCGAUGCAACGCGUAGAACCUUACCCGGGUUAGACAUGGAUCGGGAGUGCUCAGAGAUGGGUGUGCCUCUUUUGGGGUCGGUUCACAGGUGGUGCAUGGCUGUCGUCAGCUCGUGUCGUGAGAUGUUGGGUUAAGUCCCGCAACGAGCGCAACCCUUGUUCACUGUUGCCAGCACGUUAUGGUGGGGACUCAGUGGAGACCGCCGGGGUCAACUCGGAGGAAGGUGGGGAUGACGUCGAGUCAUCAUGCCCCUUAUGUCCAGGGCUUCACGCAUGCUACAAUGGCUGGUACAGAGAGUGGCGAGCCUGUGAGGGUGAGCGAAUCUCGGAAAGCCGGUCUCAGUUCGGAUUGGGGUCUGCAACUCGACCUCAUGAAGUCGGAGUCGCUAGUAAUCGCAGAUCAGCAACGCUGCGGUGAAUAAGUUCCCGGGGCU